UCGACUUGUAGCGACUCCUUCCUGGUGUGUACUUCUCCUUAACUUGGUUAACUACCAAGAUCCUCUUGUAUAAAUGUUGCCGAUGCUAUAUCAUCACCUUCUUGCACAGCUAGAACAUUCAAUCAAUUCUUCAGAGUUCAUUGAAGAACAUGAGUUCUGUGGAGGCAAAGGCGUGAAGUAUCCAGGGCCUGCGGGAGGAAGCACCAUAGUCACUAGCGCAAAGGCAUCGUGGCCCGAGGUGGUCGCGAUGUCCGUCGAGAAGGCCAAGGAGAUCAUCCUCAAGGACAAGGCCGAUGUGGAGAUCGAGGUCCUCCCAGUCAACGCAUGGGUAACCUAGGACGUAAGGCCCGACUAUGUGCAAUGAGAGAUUUGUCCAACUUAUUGUAGUUGCCUGGAAUCUUAAAAGUGCGCAUGCUCGUUGGCGAGAACGAGCGGCCGCUUCGUCACUUGCAUGCAUGUUUAUCUUUUUAUAUCUGCUAGUGCAUGGUUGUUGGCAUUACAUGUUGUCGGACUGAACACAUCAAAAAUAAAGCAACAGAUCCUUGUGCA
Molecule: long non-coding RNA, 549 nt
Organism: Triticum dicoccoides
Lineage: Eukaryota; Viridiplantae; Streptophyta; Magnoliopsida; Poales; Poaceae
Exons: 2
Source: RefSeq, a predicted model, not a curated record